AAGAGGUAUGUAAGACGUUGAGAAAAAGGGGAAGUCACUGAGGGAUUAAGAUGGUAAGGGUAUAGGGAAUAGAAAAAAUUUCAUGGCAUGGCAUGAAGUUGCACAUGACUUACGAGAAGGCUUCAGAAAAGAAUAUUUGGUGAACAAAUAAUGGCCCAUAGACGCUCACUGCAGAUGAACUGUAACUUGAUCAGCCAAAAAAAAAGGGGCGGGGGAGGGCAAAAGAUAAAAGUAUAAGGAGAUAAAGUACUUGCCUUUGGGAUGGGAGAAAAAUAAGGAUGUCUGUUUU
RNAcentral lists this long non-coding RNA (289 nucleotides) under Bos taurus (domestic cattle). RNAcentral's name for it is "long non-coding RNA NONBTAT025394". The record is from RNAcentral. Lineage: Eukaryota; Metazoa; Chordata; Mammalia; Artiodactyla; Bovidae.